AUGGUCGACCUGCAGGCGGCCGCACUAGUGAUUCAGGAGGCAGCAGUAAGGGAUAUUGCGCAAUGGGCGGAAGCCUGACGCAGCAACGCCGCGUGCCCGAGGAAGGCCUUCGGGUCGUAAAGGGCUUUUAAGGCUGAAGAGAGCGGACGGUAAGCCUGGAAGAAGUGUCGGCUAAUACGUGCCAGCAGCCGCGGUAAAACGUAGGACGCAAGCGUUAUCCGGAGUUACUGGGCGUAAAGGGCGGGUAGGCGGUCUGACAAGUGAGGUGUGAAAUCUCCCAGGCUCAACCGGGAGGGGGCAUCUGAGACUGUCAGACUGGAGGGCAGCAGAGGAGCGUGGAAUUCCGGGUGGAGUAGUGAAAUGCGUAGAGAUCCGGAGGAACACCAGAGGCGAAGGCGGCGCUCUGGGCUGCKCCUGACGCUGAACCGCGAAAGCCAGGGGAGCGAACGGGAUUAGAAACCCCGGUAGAUCCUUGGCCGUAAAUCGAGUGCCAACCUGGGCGUUGGYGGCGGAAGGCCUCAUGCGUCGGAMGCGAAVGCGGUAAMGUUGGCVGCCUGGGGAGUAACGGUVGCAAGGCUAAA
This 581-nucleotide ribosomal RNA is filed under the name uncultured bacterium. Its description in RNAcentral is "bacterial SSU rRNA". It matches the Rfam family "Bacterial small subunit ribosomal RNA", at positions 283 to 898 of the family's 1533-position model. The record is from RNAcentral.